Molecule: long non-coding RNA, 5508 nt
Organism: Callithrix jacchus (white-tufted-ear marmoset)
Lineage: Eukaryota; Metazoa; Chordata; Mammalia; Primates; Cebidae
Source: RefSeq, a predicted model, not a curated record
CAUCCGCGGUCUGCCAGUGCGUCCCCCGCGAAGCUGACGUUCCCCGAGGCUUGCCUGAUUGUUUAGCUUUUCCUUCCUGCCUGUCCCAGAGAUCCAACUCCGUUCUUCCGGUCUUGUCAUUUCAGAGACCUCGCAAGAAGCUCGCCCUUGUCGUCUCCCAACGGGCUUCUUUGCUCCUAGCUUGUUUCCUGUGGGUGCACCCUUUUCAAUUCAGGCUAAUAGCUGUCCAGCGACACCAUCACUCAUUCAUUUCUCUAACAAAUAUUUCAUGGGCUCUUGCUCUGCAGUGGGGAUGUGGUGGCGAAUGAAAUAGACGAUGUCCUGCCCUCAUGAACUUAGAGUCUGGUAGAGGAAACAGACAAUAAACACAUUCUCAAUUGUUUAAGGAGGCCGAGAGGAUAGGGAGAGGCUCAGAGGAGGGAUACGGAAGCAGCAAGUGGUCAGACCUGUGCGUGCACAGGGCAGGAGGAGACCUGUGGGACGUGGGGGCAGUUGGGGACGGAACUCUGCGCAGAGGAGCCUCCUUGCCCGCUGGGGCGAGAGGGGAACCUUUCCCUGUGUGAAAUUCCCCGUGUUGUUAAAAGGGCAAUGAGGGAAAGGAAUGAGAGGUCACCUGGGUGUAUAGGCAACUUAGGCCCCCCUGAGUUCCUGCCAUGCCUCCAAUUCUAUAUGCCUGGGGAACUGCGUCCAGGUGUCCAGAACAUAAUUUUUUUCCUGCCUUUUAAACCUAUACCUUCCAGUACCUCUGGCAGAAACAUAACCCUCUUUGUUACCUGCGUGUGGAAACUUAACUCAUCUUUGUGUUACAUCUGCACCUUCUGCCUUUAUGCCUUGUUUUGUUUUCCCUCCUCCGGGAAGAAUAUAACAAACUUAGCUGAGUCUCUUCUACAUACGAAGAAAUAAUUUAUUUUCUGCUAUGUGUUUGGGGUGGGGAUAAAAAUAACAAGAAACUAGCUCCUAUCAUUAAGGCACAGAUAGCCCUUUGAGACAUUCCUUAACGGGCUAUGGAUAAGCUUCGGGAUAUUGCUGAUCCCCCCAAAUUAUAUGCUAACCUAUUUUUUUUUUUUUUAAUUUGAGACAGUGUCUCACUCUGUCACUCAGGCUGGAGUGGUAUCGCUAUCUCGGUUCACUGUAACCUCUGCCUCCCAGGCUCAGGUGAUCUCCCACUUCAGCCUCCCGAAGAGCUGGGACUGCAGAUGCACGCCACCAUGCUGGGCUAAUUUUUAUAUUUUUUGUAGAGACGAGGUUUGGCUAUAUGGGGCAGGCUGGUUUCAAACUCCUGGAUUCAAGUGAUCCGCCUGCCUCAGCCUCCCAAAAUGAUGGGAUUACAGGCGUGAGCCACGGUGCCCGACCAAUAUGCUAAUUUUUUAACAUUAAUAUCUCAACUAAAAUAAUGUUUAUAAAUUGUUUAAAAUAUGUAUGCUUAUAAUACUAAAAGACUUGUAAAGAAAAAAGGAAUUCCCUGUCCUACUCUUUGGAGGCAAUAUGCUCAACUCCACAAAUUCAUCCUGAUACUUACCUUCAUAUUUCUUUCCUUUUUUUUUUUUUUUUUUUGAGGUAGGGUUUCACUUUGUUACUCAGGUUGGAGUAAUGGCAUGCUCUUGGCUCACUGCAGCUCCAAUCUUCCUGGGCCCAAGUGAUCCUUCCACCUCAGACUCCAAGUUGCUGGGACUACAGGUGCCCUCCAAUAUGCCCGGUUAAUUUUUGUAUUUUUAGUAGAGACGGCCUUUCACCAUGUCGCCCAGGCUGGCCUCGAACUCCUGAACUCAAGCGAUCUGCCCUUGGCAUCCCAAAAGUGCUGGGAUUAGAUGUGUGAGCCACCAUGCCCAGCCUAUCUUCAUAUUUCUAAGUAAAUGUUUAGGUGGGAGAAGGGUCGGGAGAGAAAAAGAAAAAUAUAAAAAUUUAUAAAAUUUAUAAGUAAAUGUUUAUACGAUUAUUUCCUGGUUUGUUAAUUGUUAGCAUUAUGAGUUCACUUCCUGACACAGUAGAUAAGAGCUUGACUCUAUCACUUCUGCUGCCCACCAUAUAGUUGUGUAACAAUUUUUGGUUAAACCAAUGAUAUGCACCCAACUGUAUUAAAAUUAUUAUGUAUGCAAAUAUUAUUUACUGAUGAGCCAAGAAAUGCACUACAAUCAUGACUUCUAGUUUGUAUGGCCCUUCAUUUUUCUUAGGGUUAAUUAUUGCUUUUCUCUCAUUUGUCUGGUUUUCUAAACACAGUAUUUACAGUUGGCUUUUCCCCUCAAAUGCUCUAAGACUCUAUCAAAAAGUCUAGCAAUAAUAUUUUCCGUAUAGUCAAUAUGUAAGUUUUCUUUGGAGCUUUGGUCCCAGAGCCUUCCUUCCUCUUGUUUCAGUCUGGACUGGCUGCUCACUAGACUUGCUGUCAUUCUGGAAUUUUCCUUCAUUGCUGUUCUGGGCUGGUUUUCCCCAUUUCCUAGAUCCCAUGUCUUCCUCUUUCUUGGUUUACUUCCUUGUUUUGCUAAAGCAUCUCCUUUAGUAGCUUCCUGAGAAAAGGAGCUGGGGGAUACAUGUUGUUAAAAUCUUCGCAUAUUUGUAAAUGUCUUACUUCUGUUUAACACUUGAUCUGUUGUUGGGCUAGAUAUUUAAGUUUGAAAAUAAUUUUCCCUUAUUAUUUUGGAGGUAUACUACAUUUUCUUAUACCUUCUAGGGUUGCAAUUAAAAAAAUUCCGAUUUAUAUUUCUGAUCCUUUCUGAUCCAUCUCCCCCAUCUGCGGAGGAGGCCUUAGGAUUUUCUCUCUUUAACCUGUUGGUUAGAAAUUUUAUAAUGAUGUGCUUUAUUGUACCACUUUCUUUUCUUUUUUCUUUUUUUUGAGAUGGAGUCUUGCUCUGUUACCCAAGCUGGAGUGCAAUGGCACGAUCUUGGUUCACAGCAACCUCUGCCUCCUGGGUUCAAGCAAUUCUCCUUCCUCAGCCUCCUGAAUAGCUGGGACUACGGGUGCAUGCCACCAUGCCAGGCUAAUAAUUUUUGUAUUUUUAGGAGAGAUGGGAUUUCACUAUGUUGCCAGGCUGUUUUUGUACUGCUAACCUCGUGAUCUGCCUGCCUUGGCCUCCCCAAGUGCUGGAAUUACAGGCAUGAGCCACCUGUACCACUUUCUCAAUUUGUUGUACUGAGCACUGAUUCAAAGUAGAAAUUCAUAGAGCUGAGCAUGGUGGCCCGUGCCUGUAAUCCUAAUACUUUGGGAGGGUGUGCAGGGAGGAUUGCUUGAGUCCAGGAGUUUUAGGCUACAGUGAGCUAGGAUCACGCCACUGCACUCCAGUCUUUAUGACAGAUAAUUUGUCUUAAAGAAAAAACACAAAAAACAAAAUGCUCUUUUCAUCUUGCAAAACUGAACUCUCAACCAACCCACUGUUUGUUUUUUACUGUGGGGUGUCUCCUUGCAUUAUCUUCAACCAUUUCAAUUUUUUUUUUGAGAUGGGGUCUUGCUCUGUUGCCCAGGCUAGAGUGCAGUUGGCAGUCUUAGCUCAUUGGCUCAAGCGAACCUCCCACCUCAGCCUUCCAAGUAGCUGGGACCACAGACUUGUGCCACCACAUCUGGCUAAUUUUUUGAUUUUUGUAGAGGUGAGGUCUCCCUAUGUUGUACAAGGCUGAAGUUUCAGUUUUCUUAUUUUUAAUUCCCAAGAACUUUUUUCCUGCUGAGUGUCUCUUUUCCGUGUUAUUUUAUCCUGGUUUUAUGGACAGGCAUAACUUUUCCUAUCUGUGAGGAUAUUAUAACAGUAAAUUUGUUUUCAGUUUUUCUUUUCCUCUCUGCUUUGUCUCUGUUUCCUUGGGUCCUUUUUAAUGCUAAUUUUUUGGCAACCCUUAUGUUAAUGGCCAUCUGAAACUUCGGUCUUCUUUAGCAAUCUAUUCAUCUUUAAGAAUGAGACACUGAAAAGCCGAGUGGAGACUCUUAAGUGUUUGGGCAAGAUGAGUUGACUGGCUCCUUGCUACUCAAAAAGGACCAGCAGCAUUGACAUCAUCUGGGAGCUCACUGGAAAUGGAGAACCUCAGCCUACAGAACCUCAGCCUAAAUCUGUAAUCAACAGAUUUAGAAUCUGCAUUUUAACAAGAUCACUAGGUGAUUCAAGUGCAUAUUAUGUUUUGAGAAGCACUAGAUUCACCACAAGUUGCGCAGAUGAUGUGCCAGACAUCGAAUGUCAAUAUUAGGAGGUCGUCUCUUCAGGGAAGAAUCCUCCAGUUGUGUUUGGAAAGUGGUUGUUCUUAAGGAGCCAGAAAUUUGCUGCUUUCAGUCUUGAAGAUAGAGGCUAGAGGUCAUUCUGGGGUUUUGUGGCUGUGUGGCUAUUCUCCAGUUCGUCCUCCAGAUUCACUCUUCAUUCUUUUUCACCCCUCCAUCAGCUGGACUCCCUUAUGCCUGGGUGUUUGGUUAGCAAAUAAGGAGCCCAGAAGCAGGAAGGGGAACAGAAAUAGCACUAGUAGGAGGAGGCAAGAGAGUAAUAUCAGGCUAUUUAAUCUUGGCUUUCCUUCAUCUUUUGAGGUUGCCUCAUGCUGGCUGUGUCCAUCAACCUAAUGUUACUGCUCCUCUCACAGUGGCCACCUCAGCACAACUCUUUCCUUCCUUCCUGGUCCUGAUCCCUCUCCUCAACCCUUUGGGCUUAGGGAUAGUAUUAGCUCGGCUACUGUUAGUCCUGAGUUGCUGCAUUGUCUCUUGUGGUUCCCCUGCAUCCACAGUUUUGUAAAUACUCCUUCUUAAAUACAUUCUCCUCAAAUUGUCCUAUCUUGAGGGUGCCAUCUGUUUCCUAUGGGAUAAAACCUAACAUGGUGGGGUUGGGGAAGAGUGAUGUCAUAGAAGAUGACAAGGUAGAAUUGAUCCCUUCACUGAAACAACUAUUGGACUUGCAAGAAUUGUCACAAUCAACUAUUUGGAGCUCUAGAUUCUAGUGGAGCACUUGCAGCAUUGAAGGGAGUACUUGAUGAGGAAAGAGGCUGGGCCUCACUCUGUUGCCCAGGCUGGCAUGAAGUGGUACAAUUUCAGCUCACUGCAACCUCUGCCUCUAGAGUUCAAGUGAUUCUCCUGACUCAACCUCCUGAGUAGCUGGAACUACAGAGCCAGCAGCAGUUCCUGGUGGAUUGAAUGUUGAGUGUGAGAGAUAAAGAGGCAUCAGCGAUGAGUCCAUGAGUUUUGGCAAUUGGAAGAAUAGUUGCCAUCCAUCGAGCUAAGGAUGGAGUACAGUGGCAUGAUCUCAGCUCACUGCAACCUCUGCCUCCCAAGUUCAAGUGAUUCUCCUGUCUCAGCCUCCUGAGUAGCCGGGACUACAGACCCUGCACUUGAUGGAUAAGCUGGCACCACCCAGAUCGAUAAACUGGCUCAUCUGAUCUGUGGCUCCGACCCAGGAACUGACUCUGCACAAAAAGACAGCUCAGACUCCCUAUGACUUCAUCCCUGACCAGUCAGCAGUCCUGGCUCACUGGCUUUCCCUACCCACCAAGUUGUCCUUAAAAACUCUGCUCCCUGAUUGCUCGGGGAGACUGAUUGGAAUAAUAAUAAAACUCCAG